RNAcentral lists this ribosomal RNA (520 nucleotides) under uncultured bacterium. Its description in RNAcentral is "bacterial SSU rRNA". It matches the Rfam family "Bacterial small subunit ribosomal RNA", at positions 355 to 886 of the family's 1533-position model. The record is from RNAcentral.
UGGGGAAUAUUGCACAAUGGGCGAAAGCCUGAUGCAGCGACGCCGCGUGAGGGAUGACGGCCUUCGGGUUGUAAACCUCUUUCAGCAGGGACGAAGCGCAAGUGACGGUACCUGCAGAAGAAGCACCGGCUAACUACGUGCCAGCAGCCGCGGUAAUACGUAGGGUGCAAGCGUUGUCCGGAAUUACUGGGCGUAAAGAGUUCGUAGGCGGUUUGUCGCGUCGUUUGUGAAAACCAGCAGCUCAACUGCUGGCUUGCAGGCGAUACGGGCAGACUUGAGUACUGCAGGGGAGACUGGAAUUCCUGGUGUAGCGGUGAAAUGCGCAGAUAUCAGGAGGAACACCGGUGGCGAAGGCGGGUCUCUGGGCAGUAACUGACGCUGAGGAACGAAAGCGUGGGUAGCGAACAGGAUUAGAUACCCUGGUAGUCCACGCCGUAAACGGUGGGCGCUAGGUGUGGGUUCCUUCCACGGAAUCCGUGCCGUAGCUAACGCAUUAAGCGCCCCGCCUGGGGAGUACGGC